This 289-nucleotide ribosomal RNA is filed under the name Escherichia coli. RNAcentral describes it as "partial 23S ribosomal RNA". It matches the Rfam family "Bacterial large subunit ribosomal RNA", at positions 2652 to 2925 of the family's 2925-position model. Lineage: Bacteria; Pseudomonadati; Pseudomonadota; Gammaproteobacteria; Enterobacterales; Enterobacteriaceae. The record is from RNAcentral.
CUGGAGAACUGAGGGGGGCUGCUCCUAGUACGAGAGGACCGGAGUGGACGCAUCACUGGUGUUCGGGUUGUCAUGCCAAUGGCACUGCCCGGUAGCUAAAUGCGGAAGAGAUAAGUGCUGAAAGCAUCUAAGCACGAAACUUGCCCCGAGAUGAGUUCUCCCUGACUCCCUGAGAGUCCUGAAGGAACGUUGAAGACGACGACGUUGAUAGGCCGGGUGUGUAAGCGCAGCGAUGCGUUGAGCUAACCGGUACUAAUGAACCGUGAGGCUUAACCUUACAACGCCGAAG